UAUGGCCACAUCACAUGGAAACACAGGUUCCUGUAGGAUCACUGAAGUUAAGCAACAUAGAGCCUGGCCAGUACCUAGAUGGGUGACCACUUGAGGAUACCAGA
Non-coding RNA from Acanthosepion pharaonis, 104 nucleotides. The record is from the annotation of a GenBank genome assembly. NCBI's taxonomy places the organism in Eukaryota, Metazoa, Mollusca, Cephalopoda, Sepiida, Sepiidae.